AUGUGUACUUACAUCUGUCUCAACACAUGAUGUAUGCACAUAUGUCUCAACACUUGGCUAAAAUAUAUUUUUGCAAAAUAUAGCCAACAUACAAAAACCCAACAGAAAGUUUUUUUUGGUACAAUUGAAAGUUUUACUUAGGAAGUGCACUAGGAAGUUAUUGGUACAAGUGCACUAGGCGCUUCAUGUUUCACCCCAGGUGAAACCACGAGCUUCUUCUCCACACCCAUCCAGUAUAUCGUUCUUUCACCCAAGGUGCAACCAAUUUCACCCCAAGCGGAAUUUCCAGUUACUCACGUAGGCAGCAACACACAACAAUUCGCCCCAGGCUAAACAUCUUUCGCCGCAAGCGAAAAUUCCAGUUAAUCAAGGUUGCAGAGCUUCAGUUUUUCGCCAUAUAGGCACAACUUCUUUAGCUUGGGGGGAAAUUUUCAGUAAAUCAUCCAAAAUUAUCCUUCUUUCUUCCUUUGCAAGUAAUCUCACUUUUCAUGCAUUUUCUUCAUUUCUGAAGAGUAAAAAGCUCCAAUUCCUCCUAACUACCUUAAAUUUGGUCACUUUUAAUGUGUAAUAACGGGAGUUAUCACUAAUCAUAUACCUCUGUCGUUGUUCAGCAUCCAAGUUCAACAGCUACUCGUAAUCUCAAGACAUCUAAAGAGUAAGUUAUCUUCAGAGAUAUAAACAAAGUAAGUUACAUUGACAUCAAGGUACAAGAAAAAUAGAAAAAGUCACUUUAGAAAAAAAUAUUACACAAAGUGUUAAUACUUAUAGUUACAUCGAGGUUUCCUUUUCUCCACUAUCAUUGGAUUGUGAAGAAGCAAUACCAGUUAAGGAAUGGUCCACAAAGACCGGGAUUACCUCUGUAGUUUUCCUCAACAAAGAGCUCAGCAUUUUUUCCCUUGAAUAUUUUCUGUAAAUUCGAAAGUAUAAGUUUGACCUGAACAUGCAAAGUGUGGUAUUAAGUAAAUUUCUUAAGCAAAGAGUUGGACGUCACGGUAAGGUAUAACCCUAAACCUGUGGUAGGUUACAAUCCAGUAACCUCUAAUGCCUUCUUACUUCCUUCCCUAUCACUGAUAUUUGUUGGGACAAGCAAGCAAUAGGCGCAAACCGAGACUAUGAGCACACACACACAAACGCUUUGUAAUUUGAGAAAGAUGAAGAAAACGAGAGAAAAAUAGUGUUUUCUAUUGAUUAAGAGAAUGAAAGUUAUUGAUACAAUCAUGAUCUAACACUACUUAUAGAUUUUGAGAAACACAAGGUGGUUAACUUGUAAAGCAAGUAACUAACUAA
This 1287-nucleotide long non-coding RNA is filed under the name Trifolium pratense (red clover). RNAcentral's name for it is "long non-coding RNA (TPRA_LNC009899)". The record is from RNAcentral. Lineage: Eukaryota; Viridiplantae; Streptophyta; Magnoliopsida; Fabales; Fabaceae.